AAUCUCUAAAACCCGGAAUACUAAAAUGGGGAAUCUCUAAAACCCGGAAUACUAAAAUGGGGGAUUCCCCAUUUUAGUAUUCCGGGUUUUAGAGAU
This is a non-coding RNA of Paramuricea clavata, 96 nucleotides long. Lineage: Eukaryota; Metazoa; Cnidaria; Anthozoa; Malacalcyonacea; Plexauridae. The record is from the annotation of a GenBank genome assembly.